CCUUGCCAGCCCGCUCAGAAACUCAAAUGAAUUGACGGGGGCCCGCACAAGCGGUGGAGCAUGUGGUUUAAUUCGAUGAUACGCGAGGAACCUUACCUGGGCUCAAAUGUAUGUUGACGUAUUCUGAAAGGGAUACUUCUUCGGACAAUAUACAAGGUGCUGCAUGGUUGUCGUCAGCUCGUGCCGUGAGGUGUCGGGUUAAGUCCCAUAACGAGCGCAACCCCUAUCAUUAGUUGCCAUCAGGUCAAGCUGGGGACUCUAAUGAAACUGCCUACGCAAGUAGUGAGGAAGGUGGGGAUGACGUCAAAUCAGCACGGCCCUUACGUCCAGGGCUACACACGUGCUACAAUGGCCGGUACAAAGGGCAGCUACCUGGUGACAGGAUGCUAAUCUCAAAAGCCGGUCUCAGUUCGGAUCGGAGUCUGCAACCCGACUCCGUGAAGCUGGAAUCGCUAGUAACCGCAGAUCAGCUACGUUGCGGUGAAUACGUUCCCGGGCCUU
RNAcentral lists this ribosomal RNA (501 nucleotides) under uncultured Sphingobacteriales bacterium. RNAcentral's name for it is "bacterial SSU rRNA". It matches the Rfam family "Bacterial small subunit ribosomal RNA", at positions 903 to 1382 of the family's 1533-position model. Lineage: Bacteria; Pseudomonadati; Bacteroidota; Sphingobacteriia; Sphingobacteriales. The record is from RNAcentral.